This is a long non-coding RNA of Gallus gallus (chicken), 1215 nucleotides long. NCBI's taxonomy places the organism in Eukaryota, Metazoa, Chordata, Aves, Galliformes, Phasianidae. The record is from Ensembl.
AAAAAUCCUUUCCUCAUUAUAAAAAUAUACUCAGACCCUUUUCCCUGCUCUCCCCCAUGCUCCAAGCAACACUUCAAAGCAAAAGGCAGUCCUAAGCAGUGACACUUGCUAUGGAAACACAUUCACAGAGUACAGCACAAGGCUGGGUCCCGGAGGAAACUUUUGUUGUUGACCUGACAGUUACAAGGAUUUGGAAACCACCAAAUGAGCAUGUGCAGUAGGGUAUUAUUGUCUCACGAACUCAUUAAACCUGCACCUGGAGCAUUUAUGUGCAGCAAAGAGCCACGUGCAGAACUGCUGUCUUCAGCAACAGCCCAAGGAAGCCAAAGGUCUGAAAAGGACAAAUCCCAUGAGUUGUGAGAGCUCCUGCAGAAUUCAAAUGGUAUGGUAGUGUUCUCCUCUGUAAACCACCCCACAGCACGUCUGUCCGUCUGAUUGGGAUAUCGCGGAAGUGCGUGGGCCAACUCCUUCUCACCAGCAGCGUACCCACAGGCUGCAGGGAUGUCCUCCUUCCACAGGAAUGGAACUUAAGCUCUGCACUCUACAUAACUCACCCUUCCUUCUCCAACAUCAAAGAAGCCAGAAGCUUCGCCAUCAGCACAGAACGGGUGGGUUUCCACAGCUUUCAGCAGGGAGCUGCUCCUGCUUUGCUCCAGGAGAGACAUCUGGAGAGGUUGCUCAUUCUGCUCCAGUGCCCAUCCCAGCUGGGCUGGCAGCUGCAUGCACACCAGGCAACGUCCAGGUUAGGCACUGCCUGAGAAACCUCCUCCAUCCCAGAGAUGAAAUGCGGUGGCACUUCAAGGGCUACAGAAAUACACAGAGUUGGAGUUGCUGCUUUAGAAGUCAUCUCACUGUGUGCUUCCUAGCGACAAAAAAUAAAAUUCUCGUGGGGACUAACAGAAAACAUGGCUAAUUUCUGUUAUAAAGAGUACACUCUAAUGCUUACAAAUCAAACACCUCAAAGUAUAGCAGCUCAGAGGUCUUAAAAGCACUAACAGAAACUAAUUUACUUUUAACGCUUUCCUCAGACUACUAUUUUAUUAAUGCACUAAUAGUUAUUUUCAUCUGCUUCUCCUCAAAAAUAAACUGACAACAGUUUUCAGCUAAUUUGAUGUAUUUUUUGGAUUAUUAUUUAGAACCCCCUUGAUAUAUUUGCCAAUGAAUUUACAAGAAUUGUUGCAUUGUAAGAAUAUCCAGACAAGCCAUAUGCAAUUG